This is a non-coding RNA of Podarcis lilfordi (Lilford's wall lizard), 73 nucleotides long. NCBI's taxonomy places the organism in Eukaryota, Metazoa, Chordata, Lepidosauria, Squamata, Lacertidae. The record is from the annotation of a GenBank genome assembly.
GAAUAGGCCAGUCGGUAGAGCAUGAGAUUCUUAAUCUCAGGGUCAUGGGUUUGAGGGUUGCCCAUGUUGGGCA